This 118-nucleotide ribosomal RNA is filed under the name Photobacterium phosphoreum. Its description in RNAcentral is "partial 16S ribosomal RNA". It matches the Rfam family "Bacterial small subunit ribosomal RNA", at positions 1 to 107 of the family's 1533-position model. The record is from RNAcentral. Lineage: Bacteria; Pseudomonadati; Pseudomonadota; Gammaproteobacteria; Vibrionales; Vibrionaceae. RNAcentral also lists the same sequence under 3 other names.
UUUAAUUGAAGAGUUUGAUCAUGGCUCAGAUUGAACGCUGGCGGCAGGCCUAACACAUGCAAGUCGAGCGGUAACAGAUUGAUAGCUUGCUAUCAAUGCUGACGAGCGGCGGACGGGU